This 198-nucleotide unclassified non-coding RNA is filed under the name Conocybe moseri. Its description in RNAcentral is "partial internal transcribed spacer 2". The record is from RNAcentral. Lineage: Eukaryota; Fungi; Basidiomycota; Agaricomycetes; Agaricales; Bolbitiaceae.
AAUUCUCAAUCUCUACAACUUUGUGUUGUCUAGAUUGGAAGUGGGGGUCUUUUGUGUGGAAUCCAAUUCCUCACUCCCCUUAAAUGCAUUAGCUGGAAUGCCUCUGCAUGUCUGACUAUCAGUGUGAUAAUUAUCUAUGCUGUAGUUGUUGCAUGAGGGUAUCUGCUUCAUAAAUCGUCGCAAGACAAUUAUUGACCA